RNAcentral lists this non-coding RNA (21 nucleotides) under Arabidopsis thaliana (thale cress). Lineage: Eukaryota; Viridiplantae; Streptophyta; Magnoliopsida; Brassicales; Brassicaceae. The record is from RNAcentral.
UGUCUGUGCGUGCAUUGAUUG